This 73-nucleotide transfer RNA is filed under the name Surirella sp. RNAcentral's name for it is "tRNA-Lys". It matches the Rfam family "tRNA". From Rfam's summary of the family: Transfer RNA (tRNA) molecules are approximately 80 nucleotides in length. Their secondary structure includes four short double-helical elements and three loops (D, anti-codon, and T loops). Lineage: Eukaryota; Bacillariophyta; Bacillariophyceae; Surirellales; Surirellaceae. The record is from RNAcentral.
AAGUGUGUAGCUCAGUCGGUAGAGCAUCAAGCUUUUAAUUUGAACGUCAGAGGUUCGAAUCCUUUUACACUUA